GCUCUUACACUUCUACUGUUAACCUUUCAAUUUUCUGUUCUUGUUUUGAUCAAAAUUUCCAUGUGUGUUUGAUUUUUUUGCUGGUGUUUAAGGUUAACGAAUUUUAACUCGGAUUCCUUCAAUUUUCUUUAUUUUUUUUUGUUCGAAAAUCUCACGUGUGCUCGAUUUUGUCAUUGUGUUUAAGGUGAAGCAAAUUUGUUUUGAGGUUUUUUGUUUUUCUUCAUUUUCUGUCAUCUCUUCUAUAUGUUUGUUUUAUUUCUUCUACUUUUAUUUCUAUUUGCUUGAUUACUUCUUUGUGUUUAGGUUUUACCCAUUUCGAGUGACAUUUUUUCUUACAUUCAGUUUUGGCCUCUUAAUUUGUGUGUGUCUUUUGUUUUGGUUACAUCUAAUCUGGCUUCGUAGUAGCUAAUUUUUUACAAGGUCAGCAAAAAUCAGAAGUAGGAAACGACGUGGGUUUCUUUUUUGUAGUUUAAUUUCGCCUAUUCAUUGAUCUAUCUUUAUAUCUGAAACUAUGUAUAUUAAGGUUUGCAUUUGCCUUCUUGCGUUCUUCUUGCUAUUUGUGGUGGAAGUUUGCUGUCUCUCUCUGUAUUUUACUGAUCUUACCAUUCAUGGAGGCUUUGAUGUAGGGCUUUUUUUUUUUAAUCGUUAUUUUGUGCUCCGAUGUGGAAUUUACUUCGGCUAUAUUGUAAAUCAGGAUUUUAAUAUCUAUUUGGACCUGUCGAAUCUUACUUGCUUUCAUUUGCUUGGCAUGAAGUUUCACUAUUAAACAUCACUUAGGUCUUUCUUGUUUACAAUUUAAAGUGAAAGCUAGUAAUCUCACUGAUAGUAUGUGGCUUAACAUAUCUUGAUAGUCUUUGUCAAGCUACAAAAAUUUGAAACUGGGUUCUGCCGAAGUAGAUAGCAUUGGAUAGUCUGAUAAACUAAUAAAAUUUUAUUAGAGCAAUUUCAUUUUUCCAUUUAUAUACUUCUCUUUUGUUGUAUGAAAUGAUGAUAUUAAAAAUAAUGGAGAUUUUUUUGUGGUUCAUUUUUUCGUUUAAAAUGUUGUUCUUAUAUUUUGUAUUUUCCCUUAUUGUUUUGCCAACCCUUCAUACUAGAAAAUUUCUCAUUGUUCCUCUGCCCUUACACACGCUCAUAACUUUCCUAAGUUUAUAAUUUAACUAUUUUGCAAUUUAGGUAUUUCAAAGAAGAAGGGAUUCCUCUUAGAGAAUUUCAAAAUUGAUAUUUUUAUACCUUCUGAGGUGAUUGUCUUUCAUUUUAUAUAUAUAUUCUUUUGUCAAAUUUGUUAGAAAGUUAUGUCUUUUACAGUUAGACCAUUGAUAUUGGAUAUAAAUAUAUUUCCUUUGCAUCUCAUCUCUGGAAUGCCCUUUUUUUCUUUUUUUUUCCCCUUUGUUUCUAUGUGUACAAUUUUGUAUUUGAAUUGUUCUUAAAUUCUUCAAGAAGCAGAAAAAUCGAACACGAACAAAAUAUUUGUGACCUUAAGUAUGUUGAUUUCAUAUUAUAUUUACUGCAGAUUACUUUGUCAUCUCAGUUCGAUUUGCAUUUCUCUUUGUUCAGAUUAGGUUUAUUUUUUUGCUCUCCCAGCAAUAUUGUUUCAAUUAAAUAGAGGUAAAAAAUUCGAUUUUGUAAGUUUAUUUUGUCUAAAGUUUUCGCAUGAUUUCUUUGUAUAUCUUGUUUGUAUGCUGGUAAAAGAUUAGAAAAUUGAGGCUUUUAAUACUGCAUAUGGAAUUAACAUAGGUGUAUGUUAUGUCAAUUUUUGUUGCUUUAAUUUUUUUUCUUCUUUAUUGUUUAUGAUUUGGGAUUAAAGGGCAUUGCUUUAUUACUCAAGCUAUGGCUGAUCUUCUGGUUAAUGGAAUGGUUGAUUUGCCUUUGGUGCAAACUGGUAAAGUUAUAGCUGAAUGUGAACUUCUUCUACGAAAGGAUCAAUUGGACAUUGAUGAAAUCACUUGGCAGGGGGACCAAGUCAAAGAAUUUCGACCUCCAUGUGAAGUUCAAAGUGAUAAAGCGACCAUACAAAUAACGAGUCGUUACAAAGGAAAAGUUACCCAUGUUCUUCAUAUUCUAGUCAACAUUGUAAAGUUAACAAUAAAACCGUUAGAACUAGAAUUUAUUGUAAAAUCAAAUGCUUAGGCCACUUUCAGAUAAUGGAGUUCUAAUAUCAUCUACUUGUGGUUACGGAGUAACAUCAAGACUAGGUGGUAGAAUUAUGUGUAUAACUUUAUCCGUAGAUAAAGGACUUUCUCCUUUUAAUAGUCUAAUAUUGAAUUAUCAAUCAUGUUCUUUCAUUUAUGUGCAGAUAAAACUUUACUCUGGCAAGCAAAAUAUCCAAUUUAUGUGAUGA
Molecule: long non-coding RNA, 2338 nt
Organism: Olea europaea var. sylvestris
Lineage: Eukaryota; Viridiplantae; Streptophyta; Magnoliopsida; Lamiales; Oleaceae
Exons: 2
Source: RefSeq, a predicted model, not a curated record